Molecule: transfer RNA, 83 nt
Filed under: Candidatus Omnitrophota bacterium
Lineage: Bacteria; Pseudomonadati; Candidatus Omnitrophota
Description: tRNA-Leu
Rfam family: tRNA
About the family: Transfer RNA (tRNA) molecules are approximately 80 nucleotides in length. Their secondary structure includes four short double-helical elements and three loops (D, anti-codon, and T loops).
Source: RNAcentral
GCCGAAGUGGCGAAAUUGGUAGACGCGCACGUUUCAGGGGCGUGUGGCCCCCGGCCAUGUGGGUUCGAGUCCCACCUUCGGCA